This 116-nucleotide ribosomal RNA is filed under the name Bacillota bacterium. The record is from RNAcentral. Lineage: Bacteria; Bacillati; Bacillota.
AUUGGUGUCUAUGACGCGGAGGUUCACCCGUUCCCAUCCCGAACACGGUAGUUAAGCUUCGCGGUGCCGACAAUACUUGGCGGGUGACUGCCUGGGAACAUAGGUCGAUGCCAAUA